RNAcentral lists this ribosomal RNA (164 nucleotides) under uncultured bacterium. RNAcentral describes it as "partial 16S rRNA". It matches the Rfam family "Bacterial small subunit ribosomal RNA", at positions 355 to 511 of the family's 1533-position model. The record is from RNAcentral.
UAGGGAAUCUUCCUCAAUGGACGCAAGUCUGAUGGAGCAACGCCGCGUGAGUGAAGAAGGUCUUCGGAUCGUAAAACUCUGUUGUUAGAGAAGAACACGAGUGAGAGUAACUGUUCAUUCGAUGACGGUAUCUAACCAGCAAGUCACGGCUAACUACAUGCCAG